UACAGAGGGUGCAAGCGUUGUUCGGAAUUAUUGGGCGUAAAGGGAGUGUAGGCGGUGAGUUAAGUCUUCUGUGAAAGCUGCGGGCUUAGCCUGCAAAGUGCAGAGGAAACUGGCUGACUUGAGUAUCGGAGAGGGCAGGGGAAUACCCAGUGUAGAGGUGAAAUUCGUAGAGAUUGGGUGGAACACCAGUGGCGAAGGCGCCUGCCUGGCUGAUGACUGACGCUGAGACUCGAAAGCAUGGGGAGCAAACAGG
Molecule: ribosomal RNA, 253 nt
Filed under: uncultured bacterium
Lineage: Bacteria
Description: partial 16S ribosomal RNA
Rfam family: Bacterial small subunit ribosomal RNA
Source: RNAcentral